This 427-nucleotide ribosomal RNA is filed under the name uncultured bacterium. Its description in RNAcentral is "bacterial SSU rRNA". It matches the Rfam family "Bacterial small subunit ribosomal RNA", at positions 355 to 774 of the family's 1533-position model. The record is from RNAcentral.
UGGGGAAUAUUGGACAAUGGGCGCAAGCCUGAUCCAGCCAUACCGCGUGGGUGAAGAAGGCCUUCGGGUUGUAAAGCCCUUUUGUUGGGAAAGCAAAGCAGCCGGUUAAUACCCGGUUGUUCUGACGGUACCCAAAGAAUAAGCACCGGCUAACUUCGUGCCAGCAGCCGCGGUAAUACGCAGGGUGCAAGCGUUACUCGGCAUUACUGGGCGUAAAGCGUGCGUAGGUGGUUGUUUAAGUCUGUCGUGAAAGCCCUGGGCUCAACCCGGGAAUGGCGAUGGAAACAGGGCGACUAGAGUGUGGCAGAGGGUAGUGGAAUUCCUGGUGUAGCAGUGAAAUGCGUAGAGAUCAGGAGGAACAUCCGUUGCGAAGGCGACUGCCUGGGCCAACACUGACACUGAGGCACGAAAGCGUGGGGAGCAAACA